GAACGGAAAGGCCCUUCGGGGUACUCGAGUGGCGAACGGGUGAGUAACACGUGAGCAAUCUGCCCCCAGCUCUGGGAUAGCUCCGGGAAACCGGGAUUAAUACCAGAUACGACCACGGCCGACAUCAGCUGUGGUGGAAAGAAUUUCGGCUAGGGAUGAGCUCGCGGCCUAUCAGCUUGUUGGUGGGGUAACGGCCCACCAAGGCGACGACGGGUAGCCGGCCUGAGAGGGCGACCGGCCACACUGGGACUGAGACACGGCCCAGACUCCUACGGGAGGCAGCAGUGGGGAAUAUUGCGCAAUGGGCGAAAGCCUGACGCAGCGACGCCGCGUGCGGGAUGAAGGCCUUCGGGUUGUAAACCGCUUUCAGCAGGGACGAAGCGAAAGUGACGGUACCUGCAGAAGAAGCGCCGGCUAACUACGUGCCAGCAGCCGCGGUAACGCGUAGGGCGCAAGCGUUGUCCGGAAUUAUUGGGCGUAAAGAGCUCGUAGGCGGUCUGUUGCGUCCGCUGUGAAAUCUCGGGGCUUAACCCCGAGCCUGCAGUGGAUACGGGCAGACUAGAGGUAGGUAGGGGAGAAUGGAAUUCCUGGUGUAGCGGUGAAAUGCGCAGAUAUCAGGAGGAACACCGGUGGCGAAGGCGG
RNAcentral lists this ribosomal RNA (642 nucleotides) under uncultured forest soil bacterium. RNAcentral describes it as "bacterial SSU rRNA". It matches the Rfam family "Bacterial small subunit ribosomal RNA", at positions 64 to 724 of the family's 1533-position model. The record is from RNAcentral.